RNAcentral lists this ribosomal RNA (253 nucleotides) under uncultured bacterium. Its description in RNAcentral is "partial 16S ribosomal RNA". It matches the Rfam family "Bacterial small subunit ribosomal RNA", at positions 524 to 776 of the family's 1533-position model. The record is from RNAcentral.
UACGUAGGGUGCAAGCGUUAAUCGGAAUUACUGGGCGUAAAGCGUGCGCAGGCGGUUAUGCAAGACAGAUGUGAAAUCCCCGGGCUCAACCUGGGAACUGCAUUUGUGACUGCAUGGCUAGAGUACGGUAGAGGGGGAUGGAAUUCCGCGUGUAGCAGUGAGAUGCGUAGAUAUGCGGAGGAACACCGAUGGCGAAGGCAAUCCCCUGGACCUGUACUGACGCUCAUGCACGAAAGCGUGGGGAGCAAACAGG